UUUUCUCAAGAUUCAAAAAUCAAGAAAAGCCAGAAGCUCCUCCAGCAAGUUUCUACGGGUUCCGGCGGCCAGCUUCAACAGUCUCAGUUCACUUGCAGGGGUAUCAGCGUCUCAUGGAGGCAUACAUUUAGGACGCCCAACACUCUCGCAGAUCUCAUGGCAAAUAACGAAGCCGACCUCACAAACUGUCUUGGACUACCUCUAAGCUAGCUGAUGAGCCUUUCUCUCCUUUUUGUUAACUACUCACAUACAUGUUGUGAAUAGGGUGUUAUAUAAACCCUUGCAGAGCCAACUCAUUGUUGUCACAGUAUUGGACUCUUUUUUGGCUUUUUUGUAAAGGGAUUACCUUGCCCAUUAGGGUUCUGGGAGAUCCCAAUAUUUGUAAGGGACGCUAGAACCAACACCUGUAUUUACUUCUUUUUUUUAUUCAAUGAAACAAUUAACUUUCUGAAAAAAAA
Molecule: long non-coding RNA, 458 nt
Organism: Amborella trichopoda
Lineage: Eukaryota; Viridiplantae; Streptophyta; Magnoliopsida; Amborellales; Amborellaceae
Source: RefSeq, a predicted model, not a curated record